RNAcentral lists this ribosomal RNA (448 nucleotides) under uncultured bacterium. RNAcentral's name for it is "bacterial SSU rRNA". It matches the Rfam family "Bacterial small subunit ribosomal RNA", at positions 354 to 825 of the family's 1533-position model. The record is from RNAcentral.
UCGGGGAAUUUUGGGCAAUGGGCGAAAGCCUGACCCAGCAACGCCGCGUGAAGGAUGAAGUAUUUCGGUAUGUAAACUUCGAAAGAAUAGGAAGAAUAAAUGACGGUACUAUUUAUAAGGUCCGGCUAACUACGUGCCAGCAGCCGCGGUAAUACGUAGGGACCAAGCGUUGUUCGGAUUUACUGGGCGUAAAGGGCGCGUAGGCGGCAAUUCAAGUCAUCUGUGAAAUCUCCGGGCUUAACUCGGAACGGUCAGAUGAUACUGCUUUGCUAGAGUGCAGAAGGGGCAAUCGGAAUUCUUGGUGUAGCGGUGAAAUGCGUAGAUAUCUGAAGGAACACCAGUGGCGAAGGCGACUCCCUGGACUCAAACUGACGCUGAGGCACGAAAGCGUGGGUAGCAAACAGGAUUAGAUACCCAAGUAGUCCCUGAGCGGGCUGGCAAGGCGCAU